This 443-nucleotide ribosomal RNA is filed under the name uncultured bacterium. RNAcentral describes it as "bacterial SSU rRNA". It matches the Rfam family "Bacterial small subunit ribosomal RNA", at positions 360 to 793 of the family's 1533-position model. The record is from RNAcentral.
AAUAUUGCACAAUGGGGGAAACCCUGAUGCAGCCAUGCCGCGUGUGUGAAGAAGGCCUUCGGGUUGUUAAAGCACUUUCAGUAGGGAGGAAGGUAGUGUAGUUAACACCUGCAUUAUUUGACGUUACCUACAGAAGAAGCACCGGCUAACUCCGUGCCAGCAGCCGCGGUAAUACGGAGGGUGCGAGCGUUAAUCGGAAUUACUGGGCGUAAAGCGCAUGCAGGCGGCCUGUUAAGUCAGAUGUGAAAGCCCGGGGCUUAACCUCGGAAUUGCAUUUGAAACUGGCAGGCUAGAGUCUUGUAGAGGGGGGUAGAAUUUCAGGUGUAGCGGUGAAAAUGCGUAGAGAUCUGAAGGAAUACCAGUGGCGAAGGCGGCCCCCUGGACAAAGACUGACGCUCAGAUGCGAAAGCGUGGGGAGCAAACAGGAUUAGAUACCCUGGUAG